RNAcentral lists this ribosomal RNA (54 nucleotides) under Trichoderma harzianum. RNAcentral describes it as "partial 28S ribosomal RNA". Lineage: Eukaryota; Fungi; Ascomycota; Sordariomycetes; Hypocreales; Hypocreaceae. RNAcentral also lists the same sequence under 20 other names. The record is from RNAcentral.
UGACCUCGGAUCAGGUAGGAAUACCCGCUGAACUUAAGCAUAUCAAUAAGCGGA